Molecule: non-coding RNA, 26120 nt
Organism: Rattus norvegicus (Norway rat)
Lineage: Eukaryota; Metazoa; Chordata; Mammalia; Rodentia; Muridae
Source: RefSeq, a predicted model, not a curated record
UUACAGGUGAUGCUUACACAGACCUUGGAAGAGAUUCUAUAUCUCCCGCUUAUAGUUCAAUAAAAGGCCCUUUCUCUAAUAUCACUAAACUUCGUACCUUAGGAACAACUGUGAAAUCCAACAGCUUGCCUUCUUGUAUGACAGAGAACCACUGCCUAGGAGUGGUGCUGCCCACAGUGGUCUUUAUGGAACUCCUCAGGGACCAAGAAAAUAGCCCAUGGAUGUAAGCACAGGAAGAAAAGUGGAGCUCUGUGUGGAGCACUCCUUAGGUUGGACGCCCUCGCCUCCGGCUUUUAGCAGAGAUAUCUAGAGCCCCCUCCGACAGCCUCUAUCCCCCGAGGCAGGAAGACAGUACAAGCUAGGAAGAACCUUGGAACCCUCCAGGACCCAGGAAGCAGAAGGGCAGCACACCAGCAAAGCUGCAUAACAGAACAUGGGAAGCGCAAAGUUGGCCAAGAAGAGAGCUGGUCAGGGAGAGGAAAAGUUUCUCCAACCCCGACCCGAAGGAACAUCAUGGGCUGUAGAAUUUCUCUCGGGCAGAAGGAGGGACAUGAGCCCAUCACACAGUGGAAAGGAACUGUGCUGGAUCAGGUGGCUGUAAAGACCUCUCUCCACCUGCUGAAAUGCGAUGGCAUUGACCGUGUCUGUGGACUAGAAUUUAACAAAGACAAGAGGGUACUGUGCCUUAAAAUUCCUUCUGACAGGGUAGCAUCAUCCCAAGUCACUGACACCAGCCUUCUUGAUGCCAUCAUUGGCAAAGCAGUGGAACAUGUAUUUGAGGGUGAGCAUGGCGAUGAGGGUGAUUGCAGGGGCAUGGUCCUGGGCCAAACUCCUAUCUUGGAUGCCAGCUUUUAUAUAACAUAUGAGAAAGAUCCUGUGCUGUACAUGUACCAGCUUCUAGAAGACUAUAUAGAGGGCGACCUCUGUAUUUUGGCAGGGUGCAGAAAGCUGCCUCUUUUAGACAUCAACCUUGAGCUUAUGGAUGCCCUGAUAGGCAAACAUGUGGGAUACACCAAAGACGAUGCCUCCAAGAGAAUUGGCGUGGUCAUAAACCAGGCUGAAGCCGAGCCCAGUGUGUACUUAGUUAAGUUUGAAGAUAUUGUUUGUGACUUGGCAAAACACUUCUAAGCAUUUCACAAAGCGUCAAACAGCCGUAUAAAUAAAGUUAAAGUUUUAAUUUUUUGGAAAUAAAGUUGAAAUUGUAUUUGCUAAGAAAUACAUUCAUUAAUUAUAGAAAUAAGUAGAGCAUUUCAUUAAAUGUGGGAAAUCGAACAGUAAUCAAACUAGGACCUGGGUCCUGUGGGUAUAAUUGGGUGUCUCAACUCUGCAGCCUGCUCCAUGGAUUGCAUCUGGACUGCUAAGCCCGGUGCGGGGAGUUCUGACUAGCAGGAGAGCUGCCAGUUCAUCUGUUUCCCUUCUCUGGCUUCCUGGAAUCCUACAAAGUCAAUGGCUUGCCCUUAAGAACACAGCAGCUUGGGCGGUGCGGCUGGUACAGGCCUUAGCUUAGGUCCAGCAGUCAGGAAGCAGAGGCAGGUGAAACUCAGAGUUUGAGGGCAGCCUGGUCUACAGAGGGAGUUCCAAGACAGCCAGGACUACACAGAGAAUCCCUGUCUCAAAACAAAACAACCAGUCAGCCCUCUGAGGGGUUAGGGAGAGGGUAUAGGUUCCUAAGGGUAUGUCCAUAGGGUCACCUGACUCAGGCUGCUCUCCUGAGCUGCUGAGGAAAUGAAGGAAAGUCACAUUGAAAGUGAAGCUGGGAACAGCUGGGAACUCUAAGUGUGCCUGUGGCUGCCAGGAAUCUCAGGCUGUUUAAUUGGUACAGCACGGGAGGAGGGGUUAGCUAGCCUGGGUGGGAGGUGUCUGUCCAUGAUCAGUGUCAGGCUGUAAACAUCAGGGGGAGAAACCACACUGGCUAGAACUUGCACGCACUGAUCAGUCAUUCAGCCACACUCAUGACUGGACUCCAGAGCAAAGCUGUGCUCUUCACCCGGCACGUAAGAGGAACGUCCUUCCCAAUUUAGGAUGAGACACCCGGUCUCUGAGUCCUAGUUAAGCCAAGUGCAUGUCAAAAUAGACUGCAACAGGACCUCACCCAUUCAACUUUCUCCUGGUCCCUGCAGGUUAGGGACCAUUUCACUGACAGGAGUGAGGAGCAGUCAGGGCCUCUCUCUGCCUAGGGCUCUCUGUAGCAGGCAGGUCAGAGUCAUAGCUUCUCUCAGGCUGUGCCACACACAUCCACUCCACCUAGUGAGCACUGAGUUCCAGUGCAAUCCACCAGGCCCUCACGUCUGCCUCAAAUAGGUCCUGAGAGCUACAAGGGACAGCCAGCUGCUUCUGAAACUUAAGACAUUCUACCUGAGUUCCCACCUCUGGUGACAUGUCACCUGGUCCUAGUCCUGCUCUUUCCAUUUGUAUGGUGACCAUUGACCCUGUGCUGGUCCAUUUGUCAACAACACAAGCAGGAGACAUCUGAAAGGAGGGAAGUGUGAUUGAGAGAAUGCCUGCAUCACAUAGCCUACAGGAAUGAUGUGGUGUCUUCCUCAGUGACAGGUAUGGGAGGAUCAUAGCCCUCUGGAGGAUCCGCCACUACUGGGCAGCAUGUCCUGAGAAGGACAGUCAGGUUAGCAAGACAGUCAGCAGCCCUCCUCUGAAGGCUCUCUUUCACUUCCUGCCUCCAGGUUCCUGCCCUGAUGGAGUUCCUGCCUUGACUUCUCAUCAAAGACGGCCAAGGAUCAGGACACAUGAGCCUCAUAAAGCUUGUGUGCCCUGUGUUGCUUUUGGUCAUAGUGUCUGCCACAUCGAUGCAAAGUAGCCUACGACACACUUGUAUUUUGUACACUGGUCCUCAUCAGGCAGUGGAUGUUCCAGGACAGAGAAUGAAGAAGGAAGGGAGGCUGAUAGGCCCGCCCCCUUGCAGAAAGGGGAUUGGUGGAUAGCACUCUGGGGGAUGGGCAAACCCUAACUGCCACAAACUGUUGUUUAACUUACAUUAACUAGCCCAGAGCCCGAGAUGAGGUAUUCAGAUACUCUGCCUUUAUCUCUACAUGACAUUUCUCACUUUGGGGCGGGGUGGACUCAAGACCUCUGUGUAACCCUGGUAUCCUCGAACUCCCUCAAUAAGACAAGGCUAGCAGUGAACUCAGAGAUCCACCUGCCUCUGCCUCCCGGGUGCUGGGAUUAAAUGUGUGCACUUCCCCCCACAAGGUUUCCUCAUGGCAUUUCUGACAGUUCAACCUCCAAAUGUGGCGAACACAGUGACCACCCCCAGGAGCCAGGCACAGGGAAGGCAGGAGAUGGGAAGCAGGCCUGAAGCCUAAGGGAACAAAGUUUCAGGUGGGCAGGAGGAAUUGUCUCAGACACUCUACACAGCAGGGUGAUGGUCGGCCUGAAGCGAUAUCCUAAGAUGUUCAGAGCAACUGCAGGCUUCCUUUGCCCCUGGGAUCUUAGGAGACGGCGUGGAGACCCCUAACCCCCGGGAUUUGAGGGAAGUGGGAGGGAAUGAGCCAAGUUUGGAUUCUUCCCAGAGUUAAGUCCUAAUGUCUCCAUAGUCUGUGCCCAGGCCCCAGCCUGUUGGCCUCCACAGUUGGGCAGUAUUAAGGGGCAGUAUUGAGGCUCCAGUUGACCUGGCCGGUGUUGCAGGUUCUGCACUGGAUAAAAGUCACCGAGAAUGCUGACUUGGGAAAGAAUAACAAGGUGACCUGAGGAAGCAGACAUAGCAGUUUUCUUUCCCUUUCCAACAGCUGGACUAGAAAUGAAUCCAAAGCAGGUACAUAGGAGUCCUUUGGUUGCCCCAAAAGAAACAAAAAACACAGCUCCCUUGAAUACAAAACUGCAAACCAGACACACACAUAUCGAUGCUCCAUGUGAACAUCAAGUGGAGGUCGCCCCCUCACCAUAUGGGCACAGUGGCUGUGGUGAUAUUAGACUUGAGGGCCUUUUUCUUCCUAGUGAUCAUGUUAUGGACCUAUGUAGGGGUUUGAAUGAAGUUGGUCUCCAUAGGCUCCUGGGAGUCAAUACAUGUUCCUAGCUGGUACAACUGUUUGGGAAGGGUUGGGCAGUGGGGCCUUGAGAAGAGCUGUGUUCCUGGUGCUGGGUUUGAAGGUUUCAAAAGCCCAGGCCAUUCCCAAUGACUCAUUCCCUCUCUGCCUCCCACAUGCAGACCAAGUGAGCUCUCAGCUGUUCCUCUCACAAUGGCGUUGUUGUACCACAGUAGACUCUCGGUCUAUGAGUCUGAAUUACAAUUCACUUUUCUAAGUCUGCUGUCUUGGUCAUGGUGUCUUACUACAGCAAAAGGAAGGAAGACGCAGACCUUAGUAGCUAUUGCUUUAGAGGAUCAAACGCGCUGACAUUUCCUCAUUGAGAAGUCAAAGCCAUUAGAUAUUUAAUGGUCUUUGCUGUUGAGUAGUAACAUUUGGGACUGCUAUAAAGGUUAUUUAAGGGAGAGCCAUUCCAUGGUCCUCCCCAUUUGGGGUACUUAGGACCCUCAACAAGGACAAGUAUGGCCUGAUGCCCAUUCAUACGCAGCUUCAGAAAUGCAGCUUUUCUAAGAUGAAGACCGCGCUGGGUCAGGCAUUUGGAGAUCAUUUGUCCAAGGGUGGCCCCUCCUUCUAACUGACUCCACAUGCAUACCUGACUAUAAAGCUCCCGUGAACCCACUGGUUGAGUAUGCUUGACUUGGGUAGAAUAAUUCUGCGGUCUGUUGCUUAAACCACAUCUGGAUGACACAGAUACUUGCUCGUGUCUUCAAAGGAAUGCGGCUUAGUGCACAGGUAACUCUUUUGUGUGGGAAGACACAGGUUUAUUGAUAAGAACUUUUGAUCCGCAACUUGGAAAUUGUCCUCUAGACCCGUCCUGCCCCAGAUCCUGAUUACACUGAGUGAGGCCUGGGAGGAUGAAGGUGGGGAGGACAAGGUGAGGAUGCUCAGUAAGGACAGCCCAAUAUUAACAGUGGGUCAGGCAAGCUUUCUCCAGAGUGCUGUUGGCCUCACGUGUGAAGCUGAGGCAGUUUAGUAGACAAAGGAACAGAUAAGCACAGUCUGAUUUGAAAAUCAUGGAGCGCUUCUGUCAGAGGGACCUUCUGAAGUGCACUAACAUGGAGGCUUUCUUCAUAGUGGGUGGGAGAGCCGUGAGCCUGACACAGGAAGCCCCAGAGCUAACGGUUUGGGAGGAGGGAGGAUGGGGAGGACAGGGAGGAUGAGAGAGAGAAUGUGGAGCCGGGGGGAGAGAGAUGGGGUGGUGUGUUAGGUUCAUUCCUUAGUUUCAACCCACUUUACUUGCUCCCAUCCCUGUUAAUGUAUAAAUUAUAGCUGAUUUGAGGUUUUUACUAAAACCGUGGUUGUAAUGUUGUGUGAAACUAGUAAUACAACGUUACAGACCUGCCCUGUGUCCCCAUUUCUGAGGAAAAGCAACCUCUCUGUCCAGCUCUCAUGCAGACUUUUCAAUUUCUCAGUGCACACAGCAUGGCUCCAAACCCUGUCUUCCUGGGAUUGAGGAGGUCUUUCUCUUUGACUGCACGUGUGUCAGUGUAGACAACUACAGGUUCAGGAAUGCUAAAACCAUGCUGACACUGAAGACAGGAGCAGCUUGGGCUCUCUCCACUCCCAAGGAGGGAAGAGCAGCUGCCAGGCCCAAGGUGCAGCCUGGUAUCUCACCAGGCCUUAGGUGACCAGAGAUCUUUUACAGGGAGAGGCGAUAUUAAUCAGGCUCUCACUUGGAUAAGGAAGUGUAAGAGGAAUUUUCCUUGGUAGUGGGAGCUGAAACUAAAAGGAUGUGGAUGCUGUUCAAAGUUUGGGUUAACAAAAUGUAACACACUGUCAAGACUGUGGCUCCAUGGUCAUUCCUGUAGGGUGAGAGCCCACGGUCUGUCCAUGGUGAGGUUCCUGUACUGCCCUGAAAUCCAGCCUAGCUUGCAGUGCUCAUGUACAGGGUUUCCCCGUGUGCCUGCAGCCUGGGUUCCUGGUUUUCCCAGACAGUGACAUCCUUCACCUCCAUGUGCAUAACUCCAGGAACUCUCCUCUUUAGUCCUGCUCAUUCUCUGUUGUACCCAGGUGAGCCUGACCAUAGCAGAGCUCUACACGCGUGUGUUAAAGCAUACUUUUCAUCUCUACCUAAUGCUACUCCUUAAGACCCAACACCUGUCUGUUGGAGAUUGAGCCCAUGGCUGCUGCUCUGAAAGGGCAGCAGCAGUGAGCUGUGUGCAUGGCCAGCGGUUAUUUAAUAUCUGCAGCGUCACCGUCCAAAAACUUCAUUCUGAGUUACUGUUGGUGACAGAUCAAAUCAAAGUUAAAACAACCCGCAUCCUAUUUGCGGUGUGGUCGUACUUUGCCAGAAGCUGACCAGAGAGCACUGGUUCGCUCCAGAAGUCAGCUGAGGUGACAGAACAUUGUUGGAGGCAAAACUUGGGUUUUGCAAAAGUAAAAGUUGCUUAGUAUUAAUAUUUACUCCCCUUGAUUCUUUGUUAUUCUGGGGCCAGAAACCUAUGGCUUCAGGCAAAGUAACACCUGUUUCUUAACAGUGGGCCCUGGGUCUGUGGGGUAGGAGUAAGGUAAAGGAUUUAUUGCUAGUGCUCCCUUCUCUGGCCAGUUAACCAGGAGCCCUUGUCUGCCUAGUUACCUCUUUGUGAACUAGAGAGGAAAGAAAGGAAAAUACUUAAAUUUUUGUACACAGGCAAAUUUGCACAUACACAUAUACAUUGAUACAAAUACAUUCUAGCCCAGCAAUCAGUCUCAAUGCCACAAGUGUUCAUGCAUGCUUGCAUGUAUACACAUAUACUUACAUAGGUACAUAUGAACAGACAGACAUAUACCUUUGGAUGUAGGGAGGGAUGGUGUGAUAGAAGGAUGGAGGGAUGGAUGGAGGGAGUGUUGGAAGGUUAGAGGGAUGGAGGGAUGGAUGGAUGGAUAGAGGGAUAGAGGGAUGGAGGGAUGGAAGGAUGGAGGGAUGGAUGGAGGGAGUGUUGGAAGGUUAGAGGGAUGGAGGGAUGGAAGGAUGGAUGGAUGGAUAGAGGGAUAGAGGGAUGGAGGGAUGGAUGGAUGGAGCAAAGCUUCCCAGUGCAACCCCACCAUCUUUAUUUCUGUUCUCUAGCAUUUUCAUAGAUAAAUGUUGCACAGAAUGGGAGUGACAGAAGGAUGUAGAUAAGGAGUUGCAAGCAGCUCUGUCCCGUAAGAGCUGUAUAAACCCAAAGCACCUCUUCCCCAGGGGCCUGCAUCGCCAUAUUGCACACCAGGGGCUUCACUGCCAACAUGAACUAGAAUGGUUUUCCUGGAUCACAGAUUUCUCCCAAGUCUAUUUGUCGUCUGUUUGGUUGGGGUAUGAAAGCUCACUGUAUUUCUUAUUAUACAGCCUUUACUAAAUAUUAUGAAUUAGGAAUUGGAACAUUUCUAUUCUUGAUUAUGUAUCCCCAGGAAACCAACUAAAACCACCUCUUAAAACUUUCUUCCUAAGAUCAAAUCAGGAAUUCAAUAAAAUCAUUAUUCAUCUGAACAGUAUUGAUUCAUGAAGUCAUCUUUAGGUUGAUCUGCAGGAAAUCUGCUCAAUGGGGUGGGUUAAAGCCCAAGGAUUAUUACACUAAUUCCAUAAUGAGAGGAAAGGCACAGCACUUGCCAAAAGCAAUCCCGAGAUGAAGUCUCUUUGAGGCCUUGCAUCUCACAGCUCAGCCAUCUUAGUUCAAGCAGAGAGUGAGGCCUCCUCCAGGAAGGCCACCUGCUAGCCUUAGUGUUUCCUAAAUGGCUCCUGACAGGACUUUACAGUUUAUUCCUUGCUUCCCAUCCAUUCCUCUUGCUUUCUUACAUGAACUUUCCUCAUUUUCAGGUAGGAUACCUAGGAAUUGGACAGAUUGCUUGGGAUACGUCUAUCUCUGAACAAAUACCUCCAAGAUCCAACUUGAUAACCCUUAUCUGGCAUUCUAAGUAACUGAAAGUUUCUACCCUGAAGUAGAAGUUUCCUGUCUCCUCCUGCUCGGACUCUUAGUAUGGUCUUUGAGAGAGGUCAAUUCUGAGAGGUUGUUUCAUGACCCCUCACAGAGAAUUUGUUUCCAGUUAAGGUUUUUACAGGCAGGCAGGCAGGAUGGGAUGUUGUGAUGAGAGAUGCCCAACGUACAGGGAGGAAGGUGGCUGGAGAGAGAGGCCCAACGUACAGGGAGGAAGGCAGUUGGUGACAAUGUUCUAUGUCAACUACUCUUCUCACAAUCAUGUGGGGUCUUCCACAGGUAGAGAUUAGACACUUGGAGUCUAACUAUGCUUGGCUUACCAUGGAGGCAUCUACUAAGGAGAGGUGAAAAUCCCUAUGGGAAGAACUGCCCCAUAUUAAAAGAGUGCUUCCCAAUUUUGAUAGGUAAAUGCCCUCUUUAUUCUGACAUUCCUAAAUGAUCCCCCCAAAAGACACAUAUCCUUCUAUAUAAAUCCUGGCAUCUCGUGGUAGAAUGUUUUCCCUUAGAUUGACAUUGGGACCCUCCCAAUGGGGACCUCAGUGCAGAUACAGAUCUCAUUUUCCUUGUCUGAAUUCAAAGGAAUCAAAAUGGAUUAAGUAUCUUUCACUGAAAAUUCUGACCAAUCAUGUCUCGAAAAUUGAAUAGAAGAACCAACUGUCUAUCCAGCAACAAAAUAUAUAAUGUUAAUUUUGGACCAUGACCCCCUAAGCAGGCUGCAGCCUUCCUUACUUCAGCAGGAACAGGCCAGAGAGGCUGCUGGGCAAGAAAAGGUCUAACACUCUUGUGUCCAUGGGGCAGAGUGGCUGGACAACUGUCCUCAGUGGACCAUCACCUGUGUCCACCAUGUGUCAGAACUAAUGGCGCAAGUGACUUCCUUACGUGCUCCAGCCCAGUGCACUUUAUUUAGCUUUAGUAGGACUGAGAAAGGAGAGACAUACAAUGGUAAUGGCAACUGCAGGCCUCAGCCCCUGUGAACAGUGCCCAUUAGGGUAAGAAGGGUAACCUUUUUGGAAAGAUACAGAAGGCUCAGCAGAGCGUAUGCUUUCCUCCUGCCCUGGUGGUCAGAGCUGGUUCAAACAAGAGUUGAGGGAUGAGGUGGGGUAACUACUGCGAAGCAAGGGAUACUUCACCACAAACACAGCGGACUUGGUGACAGAGGACUUGAAAGUGUGACGUCAUGCUGAGAGCCUAUGACCAGGCAGGCUUGCAGUGUACGGGUCAGGCCAGUAGGAAGUGGAGUAGUCUUCAGAUGGGGGGUGAGGAUUAUAGGAAAGACGGAUGAGAAGACAGAGAGACAGAGGUCGAGGUGGAGAGGGCUGUCCAGUCAGUGCUGCUGCAGCCUUGAGCUUCUCAGAGGCUUUAGAGUAUGGUGGGAAGGAAACUCCCAAGCCAGCAGAGACAGUGGCUGACGUACAUUCAAUACCUGUACCCAUCUGGAGGCCUCCCUCCCCCUCACUCCUCCUUCCUCCAAGGCUAAUAGAACAUUGAGCUCCUCGACGUGAACUUCAAGUGGAAACCCUGUCCUCCUGUGGUCAGUAGAGCAGGCAAUCUGCCAGUAGACCCUGACCCGACUGGACUACGCCUGACAGGCAGGCUUUCACAGAAGCAGGCAGAAUGGCUCCCCACAAGGCAGAAAAGGCACAAAGCUGCUGCUGGUACAGCCUCCUGAAGCCAGAAAAAGCUCGACCCGCACCAGGCAUGAUGGUGAGAAUGAGUUGUCCUCUUCGUUUCUGACAAUAUAUUCUCAACCACUAAUCCCUGUCCCAUCCCUUUACAACUCUAUGGCCUUCUGGAUCUCACAACGGAGGAGGUACCACUUGGAAAAAUUGUUUUAGCUCCGAGAUCCAACCCAGGCUGAUACCAGGACACUAAGCAAAUCAUGGCUUCCUACUUCUCUGUCUACACAGCCAGGUGGAGAGGGAUUUCAACUAAUCCACCCACAACCUAUAGACCCCCAGCAGGCCAUGUGGUUUCCUAUCCUGUGGCAUGCUUUAGAGGUAUAGCCCAGUGGCCCCAGCCCCACCAGAGAAGAGAAGACUUACAGGUCUAGGUACUCAGAGAAGUUGAACCCUUCACUCACAUUCCGUCCAGAGUAGAGCAAAGUCCCCAUCAAAUGGUGUCUUACCAGUGUUUCUAUUACCGCACAAAACAUCACGACCAAGAAGCAAGUUGGGGAGGAAAGGGUUUAUUCAGCUUACACUUCCACAUGGCUGUUCAUCACUAAAGGAAGUCAAGACAGGAAUUGACACAGGGCAGGAACCUGGAGGCAGAAGCUGAUGCAGAGGCCAUGGAGGAGUGGUGCAUGGCUGACUUCCUUCCCCUUACUGGCUCAGCUUGCUUUCUUAUAGAACCUUACAAUACCAGCCCAGGGAUGGCACCAGCUGCGAUGUGCCCUUCAACAUUUUUAUUACUAACUGAGAAAACACCUUGCAGCUGGAUCUCAUGCAGGCAUUUCCUCAAGGGAGGCUCCUUUCUCUGUGAUAACUCCAGACAGUAGAGAUGGUCUUAUGAGUGACUGCAGCACUCUCACCAAAGAACCACCCGGGGAUUCCUGAACCAAAUCUGUGCGCCACAGAGCUGUUCCCAGCCGACAGGCACAGGGGAUCUGUGGACCCAGCCUCACUCUUCCCUUGAACUUGGAAUGUGCCGUCAACACCUGCUCUCCGUGCCUUGCUGUCUUGGGAUUUAGAACAUGUGGGGAGACAAAUCUAGUUCUCCCAGCAAAAGGCUUCAAAAGACUAGGUCUUGAGCCUCAGACUUUUUUGCAAAGCCUUGGGAUUAAACAUCAUUUAGGAAGCUAUAGGGAAUCUCUGGAUCCAUGGCUUACACCGAGACUUGGUAGAUUGAGGAGCUGGGAGAAUUCAAAGAAUGCCAAGUUGACAAAGAAGGGGGAUCCUGGGAAAAGCGACACGUAGCAUUGUUCUUAUGAACACACACCUUCCCUUGACAAACAUAACAGGAGGUCAGUCUUGUACGAGUGAGCAUAUAGCUAGGGGUGGAAGCAUACGACCCCUCCAGGUCCCAUGUUAUAUCAGGUACACAGUAUGGGGUCUCCGUCUUCCACCUGCAGCAGUCAACAAUCCACUCAGAGGUCCCAUGGUUACCUAAAAGCUGAAGCCAAACGUCAGUGCCCAUCUGGAUGAGCUGAGCUACACGUGACAUGCCUGGGGAAGAACCUAGAACGUACCUUCCCCUCAUGGUGGUUCAUGGCUAGGCAUCCCGUCUGCAUCCACUGCAGCAUCACCCAGUCACCUCCUCUUGUUCCCCCAUCAAGGCUGAGGGACUGUGAUGACCACAACUGCUCUGCUCUCUGGAAGAGGCUCCCCUGGGUUAGUGUCUGGCAGCACGUUAGCUGGGCUGCGGUUAAAAGAAUAGGACAUGGUGCCAGUCUACGAGAAGUGCUGGGGUAUUUGAGUUUUGUACAUCCACUUCUGUUGCCCCAGAGGAAGGCCAAUACAGCACGGGACAUGGACCCCUCUGUAAUCUCACGACAUAGGACCAGAUGUCCUCCUUCCCCUUCCUCUCCUGGUGUCUCUUGCUUCCCCUCUAGGAUCUCUCUUAUCUAUUGCUUCUUUUUCUGUCCCACAGUCAUGGUGAUUUUAAACUAUUUGAGAAAUCUCUAGUAAUAAGGACCUAUUCAUAUAAUCAAAGCUUUAAAUCUUUGAAGUUUCUUUUCCAAGAUCCGAGGUUUGACCACACAACAAAAGCAAAAUUCCCUAGCAACUCUCAUCAAUUAAAAAAAUAGGCUUGGGAAACAGCCCAGGGCCUCAUGAUCCUGGUAAGUGUUAGAUGUCCAGUCAGGCUAAAUACAGGUCAGGAGAAAGGUGGAGAUAUUUUUUUGGACUGCACUGUUUGGUUUAAAAGAAGACACCAACCAAGCAGUCAUAACUGGGAACAAAAAGAUCAGUUUUAUUCAGUGGGCCGAAAAGACAGGUACAGGUUUUGUUUUCCCUGAGGGAGAAGACCAAAACAAGAUUACUGAGGUCCCUGACGAGAGUAGCAAGUCUUUAGUCAGUGUGUGUCUGGGCAGUUAAGGGUUUUCUUACAAAAGAAAGCCACACUUCAAUGCAGAAAGCUUGUCAGUAUAGCUGGCUUAUCCUAGUUACCAGGUCUCAAACUGCUGGAAACAUCAAUGGGCCACCUGACUCCAAACCAAGGACAAUCUUUCAUACAAGGUCUGGAGUUUUGCAUGCUCUCCAGGAAAACACCUUAGGGGGCAUGUGAGGCACUGCACAACAUUGCCACUGGCUUUCCCCAUCAUGACAUAGCAGGGACUACACUGACCUAAAUCACAGUCACCGCCUGAGGAGGGUGUGUGUUGCUCUCCGGAAGAGCAAGUUUGGGGGAGCUGGCACUGCUACUUGGUGCCAAUUCAGUAGUGUGGACAAAGAAAGGGACACCCUUCUCUGUCCUUGUGCCUUACCACCUACAGCAAGCUUGAGACUUGACUCUGGUGUGACCAGAGCAGGAGCGCUGCCCCUGACACUCACUUGCUACAGCACUCUGGAGUUCAGGCCCCAGACCUUGCCUGGGAGCACAGUAGAGCUGGGCCUGGAUGUAUGGGUUGUGUACAAGCCCCAAGGGUCCUCUUGUCUGCUAGGUGAGGGUGAGAUUCCCUCUUCAUUCAUUCAUCACGUGAUACCAGUGGCAGGCAGGAGAGCUGGCCCUGUGGUCAUCUGUAACAGAACUGGCCAUGUCCCUCACUAGCUGCAAAACUCCAAAGAUUGUGACCGGCACCCUACCUGAACAGCAGGUUAGAGCUGGCCCUGCUUGCAUGGAGUACUGGUCAACAUCUAUCUACAAAGGCCACUGAAGCACUCUGCUGCCUCUUAAACAAGUAAAUAUCCAUCUCUGAACCGCUGAACUGGGAGAGGCUGAUCUCAUUUUCAAGAGAAUGCAAAGGUCCCAGUGGCCCAAAGUAGAGACAGCCACUGUGGCUUAUGCCGUGUUGUACUUGCUCCAUUUCUUGCUCUGACAUUACUGUGAUGGAAGAUUGAGGGUCCCCCAUAGGAGGCUGUGGGCUGUCUGUAGUUCUGUCCCUACAGAAGAGAGAGCUGUGGUUGGCGACCUGUGGGAUUCCCUCACAGCUGUCUGUUUAGUUGUUGGGUGAGAUCAGCUGCACCUAGUGUGGGAGCUUUCAGUCGUCCCUCAGCAGCGGUAUGCACCAGAGCAAAGCAACCCUAGCCUUGUGGCCAGCAAUUCUGCACAGAACCAACUCGGGAGUCCAUGUGCUCUUCCCAUCGGCAAGGGUACAUUUGGCACUGUCAAUCUUGCCUGCCAAAGACAAACACAAGCUGUGCUGGCCAUAAAAACUGUAGAGAUAACCAAGAAGCACAUCAGGAGAACACUGUCAGAAAUGACACCUCAGACACUUCACCAUGCUGACUCCAUCAGGCUCUUGAAGGUUCUAGUAACAACAUCAAAACAAGUCUAUCUAGCUACAGAGUGAGCUCCAGGAGGAAACCUGUUUGACCUGAUAAUUGGAGGAUGGCCUGCUGCAGGAGGGCGAGGCAAAGGUAAUUUUGGGCAGAUAGCCACAAAGUACUGCCCCAAACUUGACAUUGUUUGAGACGCUAAACUUCAAAACAUUAUACAAGAUGCAGACAGAAAAACCAAGCUGAUGCUUUGGCUGCUUCACCAAGCUCAGACCUAGCAUCGCCCCUAAAUGGCAGUGAGGAACCAAGGGCUUUGGUACCCCAGAGAUUGUACUAGAGGGGCCACAUGGUGGGAUAAAGGCAGAUGUGUGGGGUCUGUGCUUGCUUUUCUAUUUUAUCUCACUGGGUGCCACCAGUUCAGAGGAAGCCACAUGAACGGUAUCAGGAAAAAGAUUGCCAGGGGACCUGUCAUAUUCUAAGUUGUAUCUCUGAGCACAUUGAAACCUAAUUAUCCAGGUCCUCACAGUGUCUUGAGAGAUGAGGCCCUGCACUCACGACACUGAGGGACACCCAUGGGUCAGGAAAGGUGAAGUAAAUAUCCCAACUGUGGUCUCUCUAUAUUACAACAGUGUAGACAUGCUCUGAGGAAAGCUGUCUAAUGCCAAUGAGAUGGUUGAACCCCUCCAAAAAAAAAAAGACAUUGGCGGAAUGAUGGGUGCAUAUUUGAUUUUAAAAGAACAGGUAUGCAAGGAGGUUGAGCAUGGAUCUACCACUUCAGCCAAGCCUGGAUUCCAUGCACUAUGCCCCUCCUUUCACCAGCACAUGCCUGUAUCUCUGGAUAUUAGCCCAAAAGCUCGAAUUACCCAGGAUAUAAUCCACAGACCACAUGAAGCUCAAGAAGGAGGACGACCAAAGUGCAGAUGCUUCAGUCCUUCUUAAGGAAACAAAGGAGAUACGGAAACAAAGUUUGGAGCAGAGACUAGAGGAAUGGAUACUCAGAGCCUACCCACCCUGGGAUCCAGCUCAUAUACAUACAGCCACCAAACCCACACAGCAUUGCUGAUACCAAGAAGUGCAUGCUGAAAGGAGCCUGAUAAAAGCUGUCACCUGAGAGGCUUUGCCAGAGCCUGACAAAAAGAUGCGGAUGCUCAAAGCCAACCACUGAACAGAGAACAGGGUUCCCAUUGGAGGAGUUACAAAAAGGUUUGAAGGAGCUGAAGGGGUUUGCAACCCCAUAAGAACGACAAUACCAACCAAACAGACCUCCCAGGGACUAAACCACUACCCAAAUGGACAGAGCCAUGGCUCCAGUUGCAUAUGUAGCCAAGCAGGGCCUUGUUAGGCACCACAGGGCAGCCCUGCCAAGGUUGGACCCCGCCCCCAGUGUAGGGGAAUGUCAGGGCAGGGAGGCAUGAAGGGGUGGGUGGUUGGGGAGGAGGAACACCCUCAUAGAAGCAAGGAGAGGGGGGAUGUGAUAGGGGAAUUAUGGAUGGGAAACUGGGAAAGGGGAUAACAUUUGAAAUGAAAAUAAAAAAGUUAAUGUGUUCAUUCAUGUUGAAAUGUUUAAAUAAAAAAAAAGCAUAAAGAGGCAGGAAGCAGACCCAACAAAAGUGUCAACAAGUAUGGGGUGGUGCAUCACAACCUUGACAGUGGUCACUACCCCAUGCUACACCAUCAGCCUCUCCCAGGUUCUAGUAACAGCAAGUCGGGUCCAUCUUGUUGCUCAGUGUGCCCCAGGAGGACACUUCUUUAACAUGAUAAUGGAGGGUGUCCACUGUAGGAGGAAGAGGCAAAGAAAACAUUCAGGCAGACAGUGUCAGCCAUGAAGUACUGCCACAGCCUUGACAUUGUCCAUGGAGACAGGAAACCCCAGUUUCCUCAGAGAGGCGGAGGGUAAUGUGAAGGAUGUUAUAGAUUUGCCCCGGGCCAUGGAGUGCAGACCGAGCAGCUUCCUGCAAGAGCAGUGUGAGACCAAGGGCUUUUCUGCCCCAGAAGUUGCCUUAUUGGACCAUGUGAUGGCAAGGAGGCAGACAUGUACAGUCUGGACAACAGUCUGGACAGCUACUCCAUUCCGACAUCAGUGGGUCCUACUCAUCAGGAAGCACCAGGAAAGAGAUCAUGGAAAUAGAUUGCGGGACCUAUGACAUUCCAACUCAUGUCUCUGAGCAACUUGAAAAACAUGAGAUCAUCCCAGUUCCCCCAGAGACGUGAAGUUCUCCAUUGAAGACAUUAAGAGACAUCCAUGAGACAUUAAAUGUGGAGGAAGUAUUUCAACUCUGACCUAUCUGGAUUGAGACUAUAGACAUGCUCUGAUGCAUGGCUUUAAAUUUCAACGAGAUCUUGGAAUCCCUGCAAAAUAUUGUGGCAAAAUGAAGGGUACAUAUUUGACUUUAAAAGAAUGGGUACAAGAGGGGCAUGAACACACACCUAACACUUGAGCCGAGCCUGUGAUUCCAUAUCCUACACCUCACACAACACCAGCACAUUUCUGGUCUUUCACUAAAGAGAAGGGCAGUGAGCCCAAAUCUGGCCUUCUGCACAUCUGGCCCUCAGGUGUGCACAGACCUUUGCCCGGACACUGUCAGGGCACGAGAUGCCAAGAAGUGCCUCCCCGCCUGCCAUUGCUUCACAGUAUGCCAAAAAAGAGCUGAUUCACUGCCUGCCUGUGCCCUCCAUUCAGAAGCUGUGGCUGCCUCAUGUGUCUGCAGCAGCACAUUGGAAGAGGAAAUGUCCAUGACUCCUCAGGAAGACUCUGACAAAAAAAAAAAAUCUCAUCACCCAUUCUGAAUGUUAGGUGCUUCAAGAGACUGCGCAAGAGAAGCAGGUCUGGCCUCUCCAGACUCUGUUGCUUCCCAGGACUGCAUAGACAAAAACCCACCAUAUCAUGUUUUGAGAAUGUGACUUCUCUGCAAGAGGCAGGAUGCAGAAUGUAAUGAAAGGGUAAACAGGAAUGGGACGGUACAUCACAACCUCAAUAUUGUUCACUCCACCAUCCUACACCAUCAGCCGCUUCCGGGUUCUAGUAAUAUCAGAGCAGGUCCAUCCAGUUACUGAGUGUGCUCCAGGAGGACACUGCUUUGACCUUGGAAUGGAGGAUGAUCCACAGCAGGAAGAAGAGGCAAAGAAAACACUCAGGGAGACGGUGUCAGCUAUAAAGUACUGCCACACCUUGGCAUUCUCCAUGGAGACUCAAAACCCUAGCUUUUCCUCAGAGACGCAGAGGGUAACGUGAAGGUAAUAGACAUUGGCCUUGCCAUCAAGAACAGACAAAGCACCUUACUGAAAUUGAGAUGUGGGACCAAGAGCUUUAAUGCCCAAUAGGGAGUAUUACAGCAGCCAUGUGAUGGAUGGCAAGAAAGCAGAUGUGUGCGCUCCGAGUGUGGUACUCUAUACCAUCACCACUGGUUAUCAUCCUUCAGAGAAGGACCAUGAAACAGAUAAAGAUCGCCACGGGAAACUGACAUUCCAUCUCAGUUCUGUUGGCAACUUGAAAACCUAAUUCACCAUAUCCUCAUAGUUCCCACAGACAUGAGGCCUUCCAUUGAAGACGCUAAGAGGCACCCAUGGGUAAAGGAAGGUGAAUUGAAUACUGGAAAUCAACGUAUCCAGAUUGAAACAAUAUAACAUGCUCUGAAACAUGGGAUUUUAAGCCAAUGAGGUCCUGGAAUCCCAGCCAGAAAAAUAAAAUGAACGGACGGGUACAUUUUUUACUUUAACAAAAAGUUAUGUAAGAGGUUUGAGCCCAGAUCUUCCUCUUCAUCUGGCUGUGACUUUCUGUCCUAUGCCACCCCAUCCAUACCAAACCAUCCACUAGCACAUCCCUCUACCUCUGAUCUUCCCAUAAAGAGAAGGGGCAGUGAGCCCAACUUUGGCUUCCUGCACAUCUGGCCCUCAGGAGAGCAUGGGCCUGUUUCCCUGACACUAACCCACACAGGGUGGCAAGAAGGGCUUCCAUGCCUGCUACUGCUUUGCAUUUUCCCUUGUGUCUACACCAGUGUAUUGGACGAGGAGAUCCCCUACCACCUGAGGAAACCUCGAACAAGGACAUCUCAUCACCCACUGAGAAUUUGGGUGCUUCAAGAGACUGAAAGAGAAUCCGCGCAUGCCUGUCAUGACUGUUGCUUCCCGGGCACUCCAGAAACAGACCCACCAUAUUUCUCAACUUAGAAAGAGCCUCCACUGAAAGAGGCAGGAACCAGACCCAAUAAAAGUGUAAACAAGCAUGGGAUAUCACAUCACAUUCUCGACAUUGGUCACGACAGCAUCAGCCUCUUUGAGUCAAAGGGAGUGGAGCCUAUCUAGUUACUGAGUGUGCCAAAGAAGUUGACCUGAAAAUGGGGGAUGACCUGCUACAGGUAGAGGUAGAGAAAAUAUUCAGGCAGGCAGUGUCAGCCAUAAAGCACUGCCACAACCUUGACAUUGUCCAUCAAGACAGGAAACCCCAGUUUUUCCUUAGAGACGCAGAGGGUCAUGUGAAGGUAAUAGACUUUGCCAUGGCCAUCAAGUGUACAACCAACACCUUACUGAAACGAGAGUGUGUGAAAAGGGGGGUUGUUUUGUGGCCAUAUGAUGGCCGAGAGGCAGAUGUGUGAGUUGGGGUGUGCUACUCUAUCACCACUGGGUAGUACCCUUUCAGAAGAAGCACCAAGAAAGACAUUGAGGAAAAAAUUGCCAUGGGGACCUGUGACAUCCAAGCUCAUGUCUCUCCACAACCUGAAAACCUAAUUCACCAUAUUCUCCCAGUUCCUCCAGAGAUGAGGGCCCUCCACUGAAGACAUUAAGUGACAUCCAAGGGUUGUUAACUGUAAAGGAAAUAUCCCAAGUGUGCCUUAUUCUGAAUCAAACAAUAUAGACAUGCUCAGAGACAAGGCAUUCAAUGUCAACAAUUUCUUGGAAUCCCUGCAAAAAGGUAUAAUGAACCAAUGGGUACACAUUUGAUUGUGAAAGGAAGCAUACACACGAGAUUAAGCGCAGAUCUUUUACUUCAUCCAAGCCUGUGCUUGUGUGCCCUAUGCCACCCCAUCACCAGCUCAUCCAUCUAUCUCUGUUCUUCCAAUAAGAGGAGGGACAGUGAGCCCAACUUUGGCCAUCUCCACAUCUGGCCCUCAGGAGAGCCUGGGCCUGUUCCCCUGGCACUAUCAGGACACAAGAUGGCAAGAAGGGCUUCCAUGCCUGCCAUUGCUUUACAUUCUCCCAAGAAGAAGAGCCAAUUUCCUGCCUGUGCCCUCCAUUCAGGAGCUGUGGCUGCCCCAUGUGUCAGCAGCAGCACAUCGAAGAGGAAAUGCCUGUGCUACCUGAAGAAUUCUCUGACAAGGCAAUCUCAUCAUGUCCUCUAAGGAUUAGGUGCUUCAAGUCACUGUGUUAGAGAAUCACAGCUUCCCUAUUAAAGCUGUGUUGCUUCCGGAGGGAGGGCACCAAAGACAAAGCCCCCAUCUAUCUUACAAGAAAGUAGAUCCUCUGAAAGAGGAAGGACCCAGAACCCAUUAAAAGGUAAACAAUAUGGCAUGGAGCAUCACAACACUGAUGUCGUGCACUACACCAUUUUAACUUCAUUACCUCAUCCAGGUUGUAGUAACAUCAAAGCAGGUCCAUCUACUCACUAAGUGUGCUCCAGGGGGAAACUUCUCUGACCUGACAAUGGAGGACGGCCCACCCCAAGAUGAAGAGGCAAAGAGAAUAGUCAGGCGGAUAGAAUCGGCAAUAACGUAAUGCCACAGCCUUGACCUUGUCCAUCGAGACAGGAAACCCCAGCUUUUCCUCAGAGUGGCAGAGGGUCAUGUGAAGGUGAUAGACUUUGGCAUGGCCAUCAAGUACAAUCCUGGGCCUUACUGAAAUGGCAGUGUGGGACCCAGAGCUGGCAUUAGUAGGCCUUAGGAUGGCACGGAGACACGUGGGUGCAGUCCUCACACGGGGUACUGUCCCUUCAGAAGAACAACCAGGGAAGAGAUCAAGGACUUAGAUUGCCACUAGGACCUGUGACAGUCCAGCUCAUGCCUCUGAGCAACCUGAAAACCCACAUCACAACAUCUCAUUUCCUCCAGAAAUGAGGCCUCCAUGAAAGUCAUUGAGAGACAGCCAUAGGACAGUAAACGUGGUAGACAUAUUCCAAAUGUGACUUAUUCAGAUUGCAACAUUAUACACAUGCUGCCACGCAUGGCUUUAAAUUUCAAAGAGAUCUUCUAAUUCCUGUCAAUAAUGUGGCAGAAUGAUGGGUACUUAUUUGCUUUCAAAGAAUGGGUACAAGAGGGGCAUAAACACACACCUAACACUUGAGCCACGCCUGUGAUGCCAUGUCCUAUGCCACCCAUAUCACCAGCACAUCCCUCUGUCUCUGGUCUUCCAAGCAGAGAAGGGCCAGUGAGCUCAAACUUGGCUUCCUCCUUAUCUGGCCCUCAGGAGUAAAUGGGCCAUUUCCCUAGCACUGUCAGGACACAAGAUGGCAAGAAGUGCCUCCCCGCCUGCCAUUGUUUUACAUUUUCCCCAAAGGAAGAGCUGAUUUACUGCCUAUGCCCUCCAGUCAGGAGCUGUGGCUGCCCCAUGUGUCUGGCACAGCAUAGCAGAAGAGGAAAUGCCCACGCCACCUGAGGAAGUAGCUAACAAGGAAGUCUCACCACCCCUCAGAAUAUUGGGUGCCUCAAGAGACUGCAUAAGAGAAUCAGGGCUUGCCUGUGAAGAUUCUGUUGCAUCCUGAGGACACCAAAGACAAAAACCCACCAUAUAUCUUCCAAAUGUGGCUCCUGUGAAAGAGACAGGAAGCAGAACCAAGGAAAAUGUAGACAAGUAUGGGAGGGCGCAUCACAACCUUGACCUUGGUCACUACACUAUCCUACAUCAUCAGCCUCUUGCAGAUUCUAGAAACAUAAAAGUGGGUGCAUCUAGUUACUGAGUGUGCCCCAGUAGGCAAGUUCUUUGACCAUGAAUGACGGUCCCUUCAGGAGGGAGAUGCAAAGAAAACAUUCAGGCAGAAUCGCUUCCAUGCCUGCCAUUGCUUCACGUUGUCCCAAGAACAGAGGCAUUUACUGCCUGUGCCCUCCAUUUAGGAGCUGUGGCUGCCCCGUGCGUCUGCAGUUGGAUAUCAGAAGAGGAAAUGCUCAUGGCCACCUGAGACUCUUUAUAAGGAAAUCUCACCACCCCUGGAGAAUAUUGGGUGCUUCAAGAGACUGUGUAAGAGAAUCAGGACUUGCCUGUCAAGACUCUGUGGCUACACAAGGGCUCUAAAGACAAACACCCACCAUUUACCUUCAAAAUGUGGCGCCUCUCAAAGAGACAGGAAGCAGACCCAAAGAAAGUGUCAACAAGUAUGGGCUGGUCACUACCCCAUGCUACACCAUCAGCCUCUCCCAGGCUCUAGUAACAGCAAGUCGGGUCCAUCUUGUUGCUGAGUGUGCCCCAGGAGGACACUUCUCUGACCUGACAGUGGAGGAUGGCCUGCAGGAGGAGGGAGAGGCAAUGAAAACAAUCAGGCAGACAGUGUCAGCCUUGACAUUGUCCGUCGAGGCAGGAGACCCAGCUUUCCCUCGGACAUGCAGAAGGUAAUGUGGAUUAUGUAACAAACUUUGUCCUGGACAUCGAGUGCAAACCCAGCACCUUACUGCAAUGCAGAGUGGGAACAGAGCUUGAAUGGCCCAGAGGGCAUAAUGGGGCAGCCAUAUGCUGGCGAGGAGGCAGAGGAGUGCAUCUGGACUUCCUUGUCCAUUUCCUCACCACUAGGUAUGGCUCCUUUGGAGGAAGCAGCAGACAGACCUAGAUAAAGGGUUGCCAAGGGAACCUGGGACAGUCCAGCUCACUUUCCUGGGCAGCUUGAAGACAUAAUUCACCAUGUCCUCAUAGUCCCCCAGGGAUGAGGCCCUCCAGUGAGGACACUAAGAGAUAUCCACGGGGCAUGGAAGUGAAGCUAAUACCACACAGCGGCCUAUCCAGAUUAAAGCAAUAGAACAUGCUCUGAAGCAUGGGGCUUUAGGCCAACGAGAUCUUGGAAUCACAGCUAAAAUUUUUAAUGGGGUUGGGGAUUUAGCUCAGUGGUAGAGCACUUGCCUAGCAAGCGCAAGGCCCUGGGUUAUGUAACCAACUCCGGGGGGGGGGGGAUUUUAAUGAACAGACAGAUACCUAUUUUAGUUUUAAAAAAAAGGUCACAAGGGGCCCGAGCAUAGAUUUACCACUUCAGCCGAGCCUGAGAUUCCAUGCCCUAUGCAACCCGGAAGGGCACAUCACUCUAUGACUGGCCUUUCCCUAAAAAGAAGGGCCAGUGAGCCCAACUUUGGCAUCCUCCACAUCUGGCCUUCAGGAGAGCAUGGGCCUCUUGCCCUGACACUAUCAGCACACAAGAUGGCAAGAAGGGCUUCCAUGCCUGCCAUUGCUUCACAUUGUCCCAAGAAGAAGAGCCAAUUUAGUGCCUGUGCCCUCCAUUCAGGAGCUGUAGCUACCCCAUGUGUCUGCAGCAGCAUAUCAGAAGAGAAACGGCCCUUCCCACCUGAGGAAGACCAAAAAGGAAAUCUCAUCUCCCCCUCAGAACAUUGGGUGCUUCAAGUGAUUGCACAAGAGCAUCAGGGCUUGCCUGUCAAGACUCUAUUGCUUCCCCAUGGCUCUGAAGACAAAAACCCACCAUUUAUCUUCCAAAAGUGGCUAGCUACUCCCAUGUCUGCUAUCACCCAAACUGGACUAAACACAGUCAAUCACUAAUAAUGAAAUGUAGGACAGACACACUCACAAUCUGAUAAGGGCAUAUUCUCAACAAGACAUUUUCAUCCCCAAUGACUUUAAGUUUACCAAAUUGACAGAAAAUUAUCCAAUCCAGAUGGGGAGACGAAAACACUUUCCAGCCUGUCAGACACUUCAGAGUGUGAGCUCUCCUCACUGUAGGAACAGGACAUGGCUGGCCUGACCUCGUGCCCUGUCACAUUUUCACUCAGUCCUCUAUCAGGUGUCUCAGCCACUUACCGCCCCAUCGAUUCUGUUCUCCAUUGGUUUCAUUUCUGGGACUCAUGACUGCUGUCCUCAUCUGCAGAGGAUGGUCAUGGAUUCCCUAUGGAACCUGAGUUUGCACAGGACAUAGAGGGUCCGGACUCUCCCUAUCCCAGAGUCAGCAUGAGACGAAGCCCAAUGGCACAUGUGACCCCUUUCCCUCCCCGCCCUAAAGGACGUGCUGUUCCAUUAGCUUCCUGACACACAACUUGCUGACCUCCAGUAGUCGAUGGCCUUGGCUAUUCUUGAUGGCCACUGCAUGUCUCAAGGGCAGGCUUUAGUCAUUCAGGACAAGGCAAUGGCCCAUCAGUUCUCCCGUCUCUGCACUUGCUCCAGUGUCCUUCCCUCCUGAGCGCUUUGGCUCUUACCAGAGUUGUAAUCUACACGGGGGUAUCUCAUGCAGUAGGAAGUUCUCAGCAAAGGUGGGCUUGCCCUUGUCCAUGGUACCUGGGGUUCCCUCACCUUGCAUCUAAGGCCUUCCCUCCUCUGCUUCUCCUCUGCAGAUGACGCCUCCGUCCUACAGGAGCUGGUGCAUGUGGGGUCAGGAAGGACAUAGCUCUCUGACGAUGAGGGCAGGUGGUCAUUACUGCAGAGGAUCACAUCUCAAUACCAAUGCUGAUCUGGAAACAGAGUAAAACCCUCCUCCCUGAGCAAGGUAUGCAGGAAUAUGUGAGGCUGUUGUUCACAGGAACAAAUGUCCAGGUGGAAUAUAAUGUGAUGGUGUGGUGCCCGGCAGAGGGACAAAGAUCAAGGCUCUAAUGGGCCACCUCAGCAUCUCCCUGCGGUCGAGAAGAACACCCAGUGCUGAGCUGCUUGUUUGCUGUAUCAGUGUGGAGCGUCUGCCAAGAAUGGACAUCAGCAUCUGUAGACAAGAGAGAGACCAGAUUCCUACACGUUUGUUCUGCAUGCCUACCCAGUAAGACAACAGUCAAGCCAUUAAUGUAGUGUGUACAUGAUACAGAUUCUCCACAGGAACUCCAUUCACAAGAGCAAGGCCUUUUUGGUGUCUGCCCAAAAGAAGACCUGAGCAGAUGCCUUCAAUCCCUGUACCCCAAGACCAAAUAACAAUCAUUCACAUAGGAUCCAUGAGCUGGCCCUUGUUUGCCCUCAUCCCCCAUUCAUUCUAUCUCCUAAUAAGGUGAAGAUAUUUCCUUCCAUUACAGAAUUCCUGCUUCUCGGGAAGCUUGAGCACUUAAGUCCCUAAAGAUUUCUCUCUUUUUAAAAAGAUUUAUUUAUUCUAAUAAGUACUGGAGUGGGCUUCAGACACACCAGAAGAGGGCAUCAGAUCUCAUUACAGAUGGUUGUUGAGCCACCAUGUAGUGGUUGAGAUUUGACCUCAGGACUUCUGGAAGAGCAGUCAGUGUUCUUAACCACUGAGCAGUCUCUCCAGCCCCCCUGCAUAUUUCUUAACCGGCCCUGAAGUCUGUGCUAAUCCAGUGUUCCAGAGUACUCCCCAAGAGAAGACCACAGACAUUUGCAACUCUGAUCCUGUCCAACUGAGCUUCCAGUGCUCUAAGGCAAAGAAUAAACAGGGAUUUCCAAGGCCUCUCCACGAAAUCGGUCCAGAAUCAAGCUCUGGGGAGAAAAUGGUAGCACACAGAACAAGGGGAGUAUCACAUGCUUGCCUCUCAAUAUGAUUGGUAUUUCACAGAAGGUCAUUAGUGGAGGUGCUCGGGGUCACUGUAAAUUCCUGUGCUGUAAUCUGACACUUGGCACACACUGACAGAAGUCCCUCUGACCCUUGACAGAAUGCCCUGAAGGACAUUUUUACAUUAUGACUGGAGAUGAGACCCUCAGAGGGAGAGAGGCAAUGUUCCACUGAGCAUGAGUUGGGACCUACAGAUUGAUAUCUCUACUGUUGCCCUGGGCUGUUUGGGAGUCAGUGCGAUUAUCUGAAAUAAACCCUCUUCAGUUGCAUUUCUAUCACAGUGACGUGACACUUCCAGGUUAUACUGCAUGACCAUGUGAAGCCAAGGCUCGUGUGCAAAGGGACUACCCAUGUCAUAGCCACAGUCUAGAGCAGAGGGAAAGAAAGGCCUGCAUGAGGCUUGCUUGCUUGUGCUCAUCUAGAGCUCUCUGCUGUCAUGCAGUCUGGGACAGAAGCCUAGGGAUUGGCACUACCCAAAGUGUUGUGCCUUCCAUUGUCAGUUAAGGUAAUCAAAGAGGUCCUCUACAGACAUGCUCACAGGGGACUUCAUCUAGAGGACUCCUCUGUGAAGACUCUCCCUCCAGGUCACCUCUCCUGCACUGCUUGAGAGUCUGAUUAAAGACCAUGAAUUGAUCCAGUGGCCACCACAGCUCCCAACAUUGAAAACUCUCAGACUCAUGACUAGAGGCUUCAGCUUCUCACUUUGCCUGGGCUCAAGGCUGACGCCUUGUAGUGUGUUCUCUCUGCCAGCUCAGUUUCUCCCCACAUUAUACCUGACACUGUUUUCACUCAGCCAUCAGCUCAUAACUGCUAUGUCUCUACCGUGUCCUCGAGUAAUGCCUUCCAGACAUAGAUGAAGAUUCCUCAGCAGACUUCUCUGCCUUCAUUUGAUCCUUUUUUCUGUUUCCUCUGCCAGGUCCAUUUCCAGGUGUGGAACCCCUCCCUCCAAGAAAGGAUAACAAGUGGUCGGCCUCUCUGCCCUUUCCUUCUGUUACCGUGUGCUUCUUUGAGUAGGCCCAAUUCAGUGCUACAAGUUUUUGCAGGUGAAGAAUCUGAAGGGUCUUUGUCAGUGCCAGUACACACAGAAGUACCUGACUUGUCUGGGAAGUGGGAGCCUUGGCCUUGGCACAGACAUGUGCUGUUCUCCUUCCUUGGAUGCCAGUCCGGAUCAUAUCUCUCCUGCAGACUUGCCUUGAUUGUUGACUUGGGGAUCCUCAAGCUCUCAGCUCACUUAGUUCUCUAAGGACAUGGCUUCCCUCAUCAGCAGAUCCAGAGCCCUCACACCAGAUGCUCUUAUUUACCUGUGAGUGGGACCAAGCCAACAACCUUAAUCCUGACUCAGAGAUGACGCCUCCGUCCUACAGGAGCUGGUGCAUGUGGGGUCAGGAAGGACAUAGCUCUCUGACGAUGAGGGCAGGUGGUCAUUACUGCAGAGGAUCACAUCUCAAUACCAACGCUGAUCUGGAAACACAGAGUAAAACCCUCCUCCCUGAGCAAGGUAUGCAGGAAUAUGUGAGGCUGUUGUUCACAGGAACAAAUGUCCAGGUGGAAUAUAAUGUGAUGGUGUGGUGCCCGGCAGAGGGACAAAGAUCAAGGCUCUAAUGGGCCACCUCAGCAUCUCCCUGCGGUCGAGAAGAACACCCAGUGCUGAGCUGCUUGUUUGCUGUAUCAGUGUGGAGCGUCUGCCAAGAAUGGACAUCAGCAUCUGUAGACAAGAGAGAGACCAGAUUCCUACACGUUUGUUCUGCAUGCCUACUCAGUCCAUUUCCAGGUGUGGAACCCCUCCCUCCAAGAAAGGAUAACAAGUGGUCGGCCUCUCUGCCCUUCUGUUACGGUGUGCUUCUUUGAGUAGGCCCAAUUCAGUGCUACAAGUUUUUGCAGGUGAAGAAUCUGAAGGGUCUUUGUCAGUGCCAGUACACACAGAAGUACCUGACUUGUCUGGGAAGUGGGAGCCUUGGCCUUGGCACAGACAUGUGCUGUUCUCCUUCCUUGGAUGCCAGUCCGGAUCAUAUCUCUCCUGCAGACUUGCCUUGAUUGUUGACUUGGGGAUCCUCAAGCUCUCAGCUUACUUAGUUCUCUAAGGACAUGGCUUCCCUCAUCAGCAGAUCCAGAGCCCUCACACCAGAUGCUCUUAUUUACCUGUGAGUGGGACCAAGCCAACAACCUUAAUCCUGACUCAGAGGUGAGAAUAAACUUAAAGCUCAGAGCA